GAUGAACGCUGGCGGCGUGCCUAAUACAUGCCAGUCGAGCGAACGGACGAGAAGCUUGCUUCUCUGAUGUUAGCGGCGGACGGGUGAGUAACACGUGGAUAACCUACCUAUAAGACUGGGAUAACUUCGGGAAACCGGAGCUAAUACCGGAUGAUAUUUUGAACCGCAUGGUUCAAAAGUGAAAGACGGUCUUGCUGUCACUUAUAGAUGGAUCCGCGCUGCAUUAGCUAGUUGGUAAGGUAACGGCUUACCAAGGCAACGAUGCAUAGCCGACCUGAGAGGGUGAUCGGCCACACUGGAACUGAGACACGGUCCAGACUCCUACGGGAGGCAGCAGUAGGGAAUCUUCCGCAAGGGGCGAAAGCCUGACGGAGCAACGCCGCGUGAGUGAUGAAGGUCUUCGGAUCGUAAAACUCUGUUAUUAGGGAAGAACAUAUGUGUAAGUAACUGUGCACAUCUUGACGGUACCUAAUCAGAAAGCCACGGCUAACUACGUG
This 497-nucleotide ribosomal RNA is filed under the name uncultured bacterium. RNAcentral describes it as "partial 16S ribosomal RNA". It matches the Rfam family "Bacterial small subunit ribosomal RNA", at positions 28 to 507 of the family's 1533-position model. The record is from RNAcentral.